Molecule: long non-coding RNA, 183 nt
Organism: Telopea speciosissima
Lineage: Eukaryota; Viridiplantae; Streptophyta; Magnoliopsida; Proteales; Proteaceae
Exons: 2
Source: RefSeq, a predicted model, not a curated record
CCUCAGAGGGAGAUGCUGAUCCACAUUUGCAGGUCCUUCGAUGUUGUUUAAGAGUGGGUGAAGAUGGUGGAAACUACACUUGUGUUUCUGAAUCAGAGAGGUAGGUUGUUCUAAUGGAAAUACACUCCGGUUUUAGUUACUGUGUUUAAUAGAGAACUUGAUUCUGUUUUGGGUUUUUGUAAA